UACGUAGGGGGCGAGCGUUGUCCGGAUUUAUUGGGCGUAAAGAGCUCGUAGGCGGUUCGAUAAGUCGGACGUGAAAUCUCCACGCUCAACGUGGAGGGGCCGUUCGAUACUGUCGUGACUCGAGUCCGGUAGGGGAGUGUGGAAUUCCCGGUGUAGCGGUGAAAUGCGCAGAGAUCGGGAGGAACACCCGUAGCGAAGGCGGGUCUCUGGAACGCAACUGACGCUGAGACGCGAAAGCGUGGGGAGCAAACAGGG
RNAcentral lists this ribosomal RNA (255 nucleotides) under uncultured bacterium. RNAcentral's name for it is "partial 16S ribosomal RNA". It matches the Rfam family "Bacterial small subunit ribosomal RNA", at positions 524 to 777 of the family's 1533-position model. The record is from RNAcentral.